ACUCCUACGGGAGGCAGCAGUGGGGAAUAUUGCACAAUGGGCGCAAGCCUGAUGCAGCCAUGCCGCGUGUGUGAAGAAGGCCUUCGGGUUGUAAAGCACUUUCAGUCGUGAGGAAGGUAGUGUAGUUAAUAGCUGCAUUAUUUGACGUUAGCGACAGAAGAAGCACCGGCUAACUCCGUGCCAGCAGCCGCGGUAAUACGGAGGGUGCGAGCGUUAAUCGGAAUUACUGGGCGUAAAAGCGCAUGCAGGUGGUUUGUUAAGUCAGAUGUGAAAGCCCGGGGCUCAACCUCGGAAUUGCAUUUGAAACUGGCAGACUAGAGUACUGUAGAGGGGGGUAGAAUUUCAGGUGUAGCGGUGAAAU
RNAcentral lists this ribosomal RNA (361 nucleotides) under uncultured bacterium. RNAcentral describes it as "bacterial SSU rRNA". It matches the Rfam family "Bacterial small subunit ribosomal RNA", at positions 335 to 687 of the family's 1533-position model. The record is from RNAcentral.